GACGAACGCUGGCGGCGUGCUUAUCACAUGCAAGUCGAACGAGAAAGCCCUUCGGGGUGAGUACAGUGGCGAACGGGUGAGUAACACGUGGGCAACCUGCCCCGGAGAGCGGGACAACCCGAGGAAACUCGGGCUAAUACCGCAUGAUGCGUCUCCACUUAAGUGGAGCCGCCAAAUGGUAGCUUCGGCCUCCGCUCUGGGAUGGGCCCGCGCCGGAUUAGCUAGUUGGUUGGGGUAAUGGCCCACCAAGGCGACGAUCCGUAGCUGGUCUGAGAGGACGAUCAGCCACACUGGGACUGAGACACGGCCCAGACUCCUACGGGAGGCAGCAGUGGGGAAUCUUGCGCAAUGGGCGAAAGCCUGACGGAGCAACGCCGCGUGAGUGAUGAAGGCUUUCGGGUCGUAAAACUCUGUUGUUAGGGAAGAACAAGUGCUAGUUGAAUAAGCUGGCACCUUGACGGUACCUAACCAGAAAGCCACGGCUAACUACGUGCCAGCCGCCGCAGUAA
Molecule: ribosomal RNA, 509 nt
Filed under: uncultured bacterium
Lineage: Bacteria
Description: partial 16S ribosomal RNA
Rfam family: Bacterial small subunit ribosomal RNA
Source: RNAcentral